Molecule: ribosomal RNA, 512 nt
Filed under: uncultured Wolbachia sp.
Lineage: Bacteria; Pseudomonadati; Pseudomonadota; Alphaproteobacteria; Rickettsiales; Anaplasmataceae
Description: bacterial SSU rRNA
Rfam family: Bacterial small subunit ribosomal RNA
Source: RNAcentral
GUCGUCAGCUCGUGUCGUGAGAUGUUGGGUUAAGUCCCGCAACGAGCGCAACCCUCAUCCUUAGUUACCAUCAGGUAAUGCUGGGGACUUUAAGGAAACUGCCAGUGAUAAACUGGAGGAAGGUGGGGAUGAUGUCAAGUCAUCAUGGCCCUUAUGGAGUGGGCUACACACGUGCUACAAUGGUGGCUACAAUGGGCUGCAAAGUCGCGAGGCUAAGCUAAUCCCUUAAAAGCCAUCUCAGUUCGGAUUGUACUCUGCAACUCGAGUACAUGAAGUUGGAAUCGCUAGUAAUCGUGGAUCAGCAUGCCACGGUGAAUACGUUCUCGGGUCUUGUACACACUGCCCGUCACGCCAUGGGAAUUGGUUUCACUCGAAGCUAACGACCUAACCGCAAGGAGGGAGUUAUUUAAAGUGGGAUCGGUGACUGGGGUGAAGUCGUAACAAGGUAGCCGUAGAAUCACUAGUGAAUUCGCGGCCGCCUGCAGGUCGACCAUAUGGGAGAGCUCCCAACG